This 75-nucleotide transfer RNA is filed under the name Bacillota bacterium. RNAcentral's name for it is "tRNA-Ile". It matches the Rfam family "tRNA". From Rfam's summary of the family: Transfer RNA (tRNA) molecules are approximately 80 nucleotides in length. Their secondary structure includes four short double-helical elements and three loops (D, anti-codon, and T loops). Lineage: Bacteria; Bacillati; Bacillota. The record is from RNAcentral.
GGGCCCAUAGCUCAGCGGUAGAGCAGUCGGCUCAUAACCGAUCGGUCCCUGGUUCAAAUCCAGGUGGGCCCACCA